Molecule: ribosomal RNA, 861 nt
Filed under: uncultured Brevundimonas sp.
Lineage: Bacteria; Pseudomonadati; Pseudomonadota; Alphaproteobacteria; Caulobacterales; Caulobacteraceae
Description: bacterial SSU rRNA
Rfam family: Bacterial small subunit ribosomal RNA
Source: RNAcentral
AGAGUUUGAUCCUGGCUCAGAGCGAACGCUGGCGGCAGGCCUAACACAUGCAAGUCGAACGGACCCUUCGGGGUUAGUGGCGGACGGGUGAGUAACACGUGGGAACGUGCCUUUAGGUUCGGAAUAGCUCCUGGAAACGGGUGGUAAUGCCGAAUGUGCCCUUCGGGGGAAAGAUUUAUCGCCUUUAGAGCGGCCCGCGUCUGAUUAGCUAGUUGGUGGGGUAAUGGCCCACCAAGGCUACGAUCAGUAGCUGGUCUGAGAGGAUGACCAGCCACAUUGGGACUGAGACACGGCCCAAACUCCUACGGGAGGCAGCAGUGGGGAAUCUUGCGCAAUGGGCGAAAGCCUGACGCAGCCAUGCCGCGUGUAUGAUGAAGGUCUUAGGAUUGUAAAAUACUUUCACCGGUGAAGAUAAUGACUGUAGCCGGAGAAGAAGCCCCGGCUAACUUCGUGCCAGCAGCCGCGGUAAUACGAAGGGGGCUAGCGUUGCUCGGAAUUACUGGGCGUAAAGGGAGCGUAGGCGGACAUUUAAGUCAGAGGUGAAAUCCCGGAGCUUAACUUCGGAACUGCCUUUGAUACUGGGUGUCUUGAGUGUGAGAGAGGUAUGUGGAACUCCGAGUGUAGAGGUGAAAUUCGUAGAUAUUCGGAAGAACACCAGUGGCGAAGGCGACAUACUGGCUCAUUACUGACGCUGAGGCUCGAAAGCGUGGGGAGCAAACAGGAUUAGAUACCCUGGUAGUCCACGCCGUAAACGAUGAUUGCUAGUUGUCGGGAAGCUUGCUUCUCGGUGACGCAGCUAACGCAUUAAGCAAUCCGCCUGGGGAGUACGGUCGCAAGAUUAAAACUCAAAUGAAUUGACGG